GCCAUACACGGUGAGAUUGUUAAGGAGAAAGGUCACGGUAACCGUUCCCCAUUUCAUAACCCUUCUUCGUGACUCCUGCAGACCGGUAGACCGUUGGUUUCCGGUAGCCAUACACGGUGAGAUUGUUAAGGAGAAAGUGCAUCGCUCUCAUAUCACCAUUCAACGCAAAGUGGAAACUAACUGAUACAUUGUUUGCGCGACGUUAUGGCGACUCUGAAACA
Long non-coding RNA from Haliotis rubra (blacklip abalone), 221 nucleotides. RefSeq lists it as uncharacterized. NCBI's taxonomy places the organism in Eukaryota, Metazoa, Mollusca, Gastropoda, Lepetellida, Haliotidae. The record is from RefSeq and is a predicted model, not a curated record. The transcript is spliced from 2 exons.